RNAcentral lists this ribosomal RNA (2899 nucleotides) under Klebsiella pneumoniae. Its description in RNAcentral is "23S ribosomal RNA". It matches the Rfam family "Bacterial large subunit ribosomal RNA". Lineage: Bacteria; Pseudomonadati; Pseudomonadota; Gammaproteobacteria; Enterobacterales; Enterobacteriaceae. The record is from RNAcentral.
UUAAGCGACUAAGCGUACACGGUGGAUGCCCUGGCAGUCAGAGGCGAUGAAGGACGUGCUAAUCUGCGAAAAGCGUCGGUAAGGUGAUAUGAACCGUUAUAACCGGCGAUGUCCGAAUGGGGAAACCCAGUGCAAUUCGUUGCACUAUCGUUAACUGAAUACAUAGGUUAACGAGGCGAACCGGGGGAACUGAAACAUCUAAGUACCCCGAGGAAAAGAAAUCAACCGAGAUUCCCCCAGUAGCGGCGAGCGAACGGGGAGCAGCCCAGAGUCUGAAUCAGCUUGUGUGUUAGUGGAACGGUCUGGAAAGUCCGACGGUACAGGGUGAUAGUCCCGUACACCAAAAUGCACAGGUUGUGAACUCGAAGAGUAGGGCGGGACACGUGGUAUCCUGUCUGAAUAUGGGGGGACCAUCCUCCAAGGCUAAAUACUCCUGACUGACCGAUAGUGAACCAGUACCGUGAGGGAAAGGCGAAAAGAACCCCGGCGAGGGGAGUGAAAAAGAACCUGAAACCGUGUACGUACAAGCAGUGGGAGCACCUUCGGGUGUGACUGCGUACCUUUUGUAUAAUGGGUCAGCGACUUAUAUUCUGUAGCAAGGUUAACCGUAUAGGGGAGCCGCAGGGAAACCGAGUCUUAACUGGGCGUUAAGUUGCAGGGUAUAGACCCGAAACCCGGUGAUCUAGCCAUGGGCAGGUUGAAGGUUGGGUAACACUAACUGGAGGACCGAACCGACUAAUGUUGAAAAAUUAGCGGAUGACUUGUGGCUGGGGGUGAAAGGCCAAUCAAACCGGGAGAUAGCUGGUUCUCCCCGAAAGCUAUUUAGGUAGCGCCUCGUGAAUUCAUCUUCGGGGGUAGAGCACUGUUUCGGCUAGGGGGUCAUCCCGACUUACCAACCCGAUGCAAACUACGAAUACCGAAGAAUGUUAUCACGGGAGACACACGGCGGGUGCUAACGUCCGUCGUGAAGAGGGAAACAACCCAGACCGCCAGCUAAGGUCCCAAAGUCAUGGUUAAGUGGGAAACGAUGUGGGAAGGCACAGACAGCCAGGAUGUUGGCUUAGAAGCAGCCAUCAUUUAAAGAAAGCGUAAUAGCUCACUGGUCGAGUCGGCCUGCGCGGAAGAUGUAACGGGGCUAAACCAUGCACCGAAGCUGCGGCAGCGACACUAUGUGUUGUUGGGUAGGGGAGCGUUCUGUAAGCCUGCGAAGGUGACCUGUGAGGGUUGCUGGAGGUAUCAGAAGUGCGAAUGCUGACAUAAGUAACGAUAAAGCGGGUGAAAAGCCCGCUCGCCGGAAGACCAAGGGUUCCUGUCCAACGUUAAUCGGGGCAGGGUGAGUCGACCCCUAAGGCGAGGCCGAAAGGCGUAGUCGAUGGGAAACAGGUUAAUAUUCCUGUACUUGGUGUUACUGCGAAGGGGGGACGGAGAAGGCUAUGUUAGCCGGGCGACGGUUGUCCCGGUUUAAGCAUGUAGGCUGGUUAUCCAGGCAAAUCCGGAUAAUCAAGGCUGAGGUGUGAUGACGAGGCACUACGGUGCUGAAGUAACAAAUGCCCUGCUUCCAGGAAAAGCCUCUAAGCAUCAGGUAACAUCAAAUCGUACCCCAAACCGACACAGGUGGUCAGGUAGAGAAUACCAAGGCGCUUGAGAGAACUCGGGUGAAGGAACUAGGCAAAAUGGUGCCGUAACUUCGGGAGAAGGCACGCUGGUGUGUAGGUGAAGUCCCUGCGGAUGGAGCUGAGACCAGUCGAAGAUACCAGCUGGCUGCAACUGUUUAUUAAAAACACAGCACUGUGCAAACACGAAAGUGGACGUAUACGGUGUGACGCCUGCCCGGUGCCGGAAGGUUAAUUGAUGGGGUUAUCCGUAAGGAGAAGCUCUUGAUCGAAGCCCCGGUAAACGGCGGCCGUAACUAUAACGGUCCUAAGGUAGCGAAAUUCCUUGUCGGGUAAGUUCCGACCUGCACGAAUGGCGUAAUGAUGGCCAGGCUGUCUCCACCCGAGACUCAGUGAAAUUGAACUCGCUGUGAAGAUGCAGUGUACCCGCGGCAAGACGGAAAGACCCCGUGAACCUUUACUAUAGCUUGACACUGAACAUUGAGCCUUGAUGUGUAGGAUAGGUGGGAGGCUUUGAAGCGUGGACGCCAGUCUGCGUGGAGCCAACCUUGAAAUACCACCCUUUAAUGUUUGAUGUUCUAACGUUGGCCCCUGACCGGGGUUGCGGACAGUGUCUGGUGGGUAGUUUGACUGGGGCGGUCUCCUCCCAAAGCGUAACGGAGGAGCACGAAGGUUAGCUAAUCCUGGUCGGACAUCAGGAGGUUAGUGCAAUGGCAUAAGCUAGCUUGACUGCGAGCGUGACGGCGCGAGCAGGUGCGAAAGCAGGUCAUAGUGAUCCGGUGGUUCUGAAUGGAAGGGCCAUCGCUCAACGGAUAAAAGGUACUCCGGGGAUAACAGGCUGAUACCGCCCAAGAGUUCAUAUCGACGGCGGUGUUUGGCACCUCGAUGUCGGCUCAUCACAUCCUGGGGCUGAAGUAGGUCCCAAGGGUAUGGCUGUUCGCCAUUUAAAGUGGUACGCGAGCUGGGUUUAGAACGUCGUGAGACAGUUCGGUCCCUAUCUGCCGUGGGCGCUGGAGAAUUGAGGGGGGCUGCUCCUAGUACGAGAGGACCGGAGUGGACGCAUCACUGGUGUUCGGGUUGUCAUGCCAAUGGCACUGCCCGGUAGCUAAAUGCGGAAGAGAUAAGUGCUGAAAGCAUCUAAGCACGAAACUUGCCCCGAGAUGAGUUCUCCCUGAGACUUUAAGUCUCCUGAAGGAACGUUAAAGACGAUGACGUUGAUAGGCCGGGUGUGUAAGCGCAGCGAUGCGUUGAGCUAACCGGUACUAAUGAACCGUGAGGCUUAACCU